GGGGAAUAUUGCACAAUGGGCGGAAGCCUGAUGCAGCGACGCCGCGUGGGGGAUGACGGCCUUCGGGUUGUAAACCCCUUUCGCCCGGGACGAAGCGAGAGUGACGGUACCGGGAGAAGAAGCACCGGCCAACUACGUGCCAGCAGCCGCGGUAAUACGUAGGGUGCAAGCGUUGUCCGGAAUUAUUGGGCGUAAAGAGCUCGUAGGCGGUGUGUCGCGUCUGCCGUGAAAACCUGCGGCUUAACCGUGGGCGUGCGGUGGAUACGGGCACACUUGAGUUCGGUAGGGGAGACUGGAAUUCCUGGUGUAGCGGUGGAAUGCGCAGAUAUCAGGAGGAACACCAGUGGCGAAGGCGGGUCUCUGGGCCGAAACUGACGCUGAGGAGCGAAAGCGUGGGGAGCGAAC
Molecule: ribosomal RNA, 405 nt
Filed under: uncultured bacterium
Lineage: Bacteria
Description: bacterial SSU rRNA
Rfam family: Bacterial small subunit ribosomal RNA
Source: RNAcentral